Molecule: ribosomal RNA, 501 nt
Filed under: uncultured bacterium
Lineage: Bacteria
Description: partial 16S ribosomal RNA
Rfam family: Bacterial small subunit ribosomal RNA
Source: RNAcentral
AUUGAACGCUGGCGGCAGGCUUAACACAUGCAAGUCGAGCGGGGGAAGGUAGCUUGCUACUGGACCUAGCGGCGGACGGGUGAGUAAUGCUUAGGAAUCUGCCUAUUAGUGGGGGACAACAUCUCGAAAGGGAUGCUAAUACCGCAUACGUCCUACGGGAGAAAGCAGGGGAUCUUCGGACCUUGCGCUAAUAGAUGGGCCUAAGUCGGAUUAGCUAGUUGGUGGGGUAAAGGCCUACCAAGGCGACGAUCUGUAGCGGGUCUGAGAGGAUGAUCCGCCACACUGGGACUGAGACACGGCCCAGACUCCUACGGGAGGCAGCAGUGGGGAAUAUUGGACAAUGGGGGGAACCCUGAUCCAGCCAUGCCGCGUGUGUGAGGAAGGCCUUAUGGUUGUAAAGCACUUUAAGCGAGGAGGAGGCUACUUUAGUUAAUACCUAGAGAUAGUGGACGUUACUCGCAGAAUAAGCACCGGCUAACUCUGUGCCAGCAGCCGCGGUAA